UAACACGUGGAUAACCUACCUAUAAGACUGGGAUAACUUCGGGAAACCGGAGCUAAUACCGGAUAAUAUAUUGAACCGCAUGGUUCAAUAGUGAAAGACGGUUUUGCUGUCACUUAUAGAUGGAUCCGCGCCGCAUUAGCUAGUUGGUAAUGUAACGGCUUACCAAGGCAGCGAUGCGUAGCCGACCUGAGAGGGUGAUCGGCCACACUGGAACUGAGACACGGUCCAGACUCCUACAGGAGGCAGCAGCG
Molecule: ribosomal RNA, 251 nt
Filed under: uncultured Staphylococcus sp.
Lineage: Bacteria; Bacillati; Bacillota; Bacilli; Caryophanales; Staphylococcaceae
Description: partial 16S ribosomal RNA
Rfam family: Bacterial small subunit ribosomal RNA
Source: RNAcentral